GACGAACGCUGGCGGCGUGCUUAACACAUGCAAGUCGAACGGAAAGGCCCUGCUUGCAGGGACUUGAGGUGGGAACGGGGGGGGUAAACGGGGGGGGUUUGGCCUGCAACUUGGGAUUAGGCCGGGGAACUGGGGCUAAUACCGGAAUGGAGGCAAUUUUUGUGGGGAUGGUGGGAAGGUUUUUUGGGGUUGGGUUAACUCGCGGCCCUACAGCUUGGUGGUGGGGUAAUGGCCUUCCAAGGCGGGCACGGGUAGCCGGCCUGGGAGGGUGGACGGCCACAUUGGGACUGAGAUACGGCCCAGACUCCUACGGGAGGCAGCAGUGGGGAAUAUUGCACAAUGGGCGCAAGCCUGAUGCAGCGACGCCGCGUGGGGGAUGACGGCCUUCGGGUUGUAAACUCCUUUCGCUAGGGACGAAGCUUUUUGUGACGGUACCUAGAUAAGAAGCACCGGCUAACUACGUG
This 464-nucleotide ribosomal RNA is filed under the name uncultured bacterium. Its description in RNAcentral is "partial 16S ribosomal RNA". It matches the Rfam family "Bacterial small subunit ribosomal RNA", at positions 28 to 507 of the family's 1533-position model. The record is from RNAcentral.